Long non-coding RNA from Nerophis lumbriciformis (worm pipefish), 971 nucleotides. RefSeq lists it as uncharacterized. Lineage: Eukaryota; Metazoa; Chordata; Actinopteri; Syngnathiformes; Syngnathidae. The record is from RefSeq and is a predicted model, not a curated record.
AACCCUGGGAGGGCCAAGCGGUAAAAUAAUGGAUGGAUGGAUGAUUGAUGACCUGUACUGAGCCUCCACGAAGACUGAACAUAGACAUCUUGUGUGUCAUGGCUAAAAACAGACGGGACAGUCCAUCACUCUCACUGACGUUACUGACUGAAGUCCAGACUGACCCCCACAGGACACCUCACGCCCACUGUCACGGUGUCGGAGACGGCGCUAUCUUCACCCCUAGACGCGGGCUGAUCCUGGGGAGGAUCCCUGACUGCCAUGCACUUCAUGCAUGCUUGCUGACCUGGGCCGCGGGGGUCGUUACUCCCAAGUCUGUUGGGCGGGGGGGCUGAUCAACUAAUCCACGGGGGCUGCACUGCAGUGGGUUGGAGAGUGAAGGACAAAUUACUGGGCCCCCUUGAAAGAAGAGUGAAGAUGAAGAUGCUUGGACAGGAGGGUGUUAGACAUGCAGUUUCCAGGCCCUUCGCUAGGUGGCAGCACAGCCACUGACUACAGUACAAACCCCACAGCCCUGAAAGAUGACUUAUGGCCUCCUGUGUUGCUGCAGCAUUUUCCCCCAUCCUCCAUCUUCUCCAUGUAAACGAAACGAUCCAGCUGGUGCAGUCAGGCUUUGGGUGCCAUGUUGGAGGAAUUGAUUGUCCACUGACUGAAGACUGGACUUUCUACUUCUAUUACUCCAGUUGUCUCCAUCUUGUCUAACCGUGAGUACACAACAAUUACUCCCUUCUAUGCUACACAAGUCCAAUGACUGUUAAUGGGACUAUACAACGUAGUACCCCAGUUAUAGCUCGCAGAGGACAGAUCUGAUGCGUAAAGAAUUGUGCCCUCCUGUCCGCCUUAUCAGCAUCUAAUGGCUUUUAGAACCCUUGAGUUCAAAUGGGUGAUGGAUGGAUGCUCUUAUCUGGCUGAUGGCUCUUUCCAGGCGUGCUUCUUUUUUUUUUUAACCAGUCAUCAGAAUGUAACCGCUU